AGUGAACGCUGGCGGUAGGCCUAACACAUGCAAGUCGAACGGCAGCACAGGCGAGCUUGCUCUCUGGGUGGCGAGUGGCGGACGGGUGAGGAAUACAUCGGAAUCUACUCUGUCGUGGGGGAUAACGUAGGGAAACUUACGCUAAUACCGCAUACGACCUACGGGUGAAAGCAGGGGACCUUCGGGCCUUGCGCGAUUGACUGAGCCGAUGUCGGAUUAGCUAGUUGGCGGGGUAAAGGCCCACCAAGGCGACGAUCCGUAGCUGGUCUGAGAGGAUGACCAGCCACAAUGGAGCUGAGUCACGGUCCGGAGUCCUACGGGAGGAAGCAGUGGGGGAUAGUGGACAAUAGGCGCAAGACUGAUCCAGCCAUACCGCGUGGGUGAAGAAGGCCUUCGGGUUGUACAGCCCUUUUGUUGGGAAAGAAAUCCAGCUGGCUAAUACCCGGUUGGGAUGACGGUACCCAAAGAAUAAGCACCGGCUAACUUCGUGCCAGCCGCCGCCGUAA
Molecule: ribosomal RNA, 506 nt
Filed under: uncultured bacterium
Lineage: Bacteria
Description: partial 16S ribosomal RNA
Rfam family: Bacterial small subunit ribosomal RNA
Source: RNAcentral